AAGUUCGCGGGCUGAUUAGCUUGUUGGUAAGGUAAGAGCUUACCAAGGCGACGAUCAGUAUCUGGUUUGAGAGGACGAUCAGACACACUGGAACUGAGACACGGUCCAGACUCCUACGGGAGGCAGCAGUGGGGAAUUUUCCGCAAUGGGCGAAAGCCUGACGGAGCAAUACAGCGUGAGGGAAGACUGCCUAUGGGUUGUAAACCUCUUUUUUCAGGGAGGAAUAAAUGACGUGUACCUGAAGAAUAAGCAUCGGCUAACUCCGUGCCAGCAGCCGCGGUAAGACGGAGGAUGCAAGUGUUAUCCGGAAUCACUGGGCGUAAAGCGUCUGUAGGUGGUUUAAUAAGUCAACUGUUAAAUCUUGAGGCUCAACUUCAAAAUCGCAGUCGAAACUAUUAGACUAGAGUAUAGUAGA
This 415-nucleotide ribosomal RNA is filed under the name Psammodictyon panduriforme. RNAcentral describes it as "bacterial SSU rRNA". It matches the Rfam family "Bacterial small subunit ribosomal RNA", at positions 226 to 655 of the family's 1533-position model. Lineage: Eukaryota; Bacillariophyta; Bacillariophyceae; Bacillariales; Bacillariaceae. The record is from RNAcentral.